This 1691-nucleotide long non-coding RNA is filed under the name Homo sapiens (human). RNAcentral's name for it is "PREDICTED lncRNA (TCONS_00001731)". Lineage: Eukaryota; Metazoa; Chordata; Mammalia; Primates; Hominidae. The record is from RNAcentral.
GCGGGUUGGCCCAGGCCUCUCUGGCUGCCAAGGCAGGAGCGGUCCCCGUGUGCCACCUGGGUGUUGCUGGACCUUGGACAGUGUGGCCAGAGGAUCCGGAAGGGGUGAGUUCUGCUCCUGGCUCCCCUUGCUCCCAGACUGACCAGAGGUGAGGAAACCGGGGCGUGGAGAGGCUGUGUUACUUGCUCAAGGUCACAUUACUAGCAAGUUCCAGAUCAAGAUGCAUCCCCAGGCAGUCUGGCUCCAGACUCCGUGCAUUUACCUGCAGAACCCCUCUCCAGCCAGCAUCUGACCUGUGGCCCAGGAGUGUGCACCCUCUGGCAGGUGAGGGCUUGGAGCAGAGACCUGGCCAUUACAGGAAGCAGCCUGGAGCUAUGGACAGAACGGAGAGAGUGGGGGCCAGCGGCGCUGCUGCCUUCAGACACCGGUUGAUGAACCGUCCCAUGUGGUCCUGCCCAGGGAGUGGAGCCCAGCGCACAAGGCCUGGCAGGUUCAGACUUGGGUUUUCACCAAAUGCCCUACUGGCCCUGGGGCGCUGGCUUGGCCGAUCAAGAUAUUGCAGAUAAACAGGCCUCACCUGGUGGUGGGGCUGUUGCAUGGGGAGGCGUCAGGCUUUGUCUGUUGCGGUGACUCAGGGCAGGUUAUCACCCGGCGGCAGCCUUCACACCUCAUGCCCGUGGGCUCCAGGAUAGUCCCAGGAAGCAUCUGCAUCUGAGGUUGGCCCAGACCCACCCAGUGAGCCCGGCUUCUUGUAGAUGCCUUAUAAAGGAGUGCUAUCUUCCUGCACGCUUUGGAGAUAGGGCUGGGGGCACUUCGGAGACAGGGCUGGUUCAGAGAUAGGGCUGGGAUAGAGAUGUGGGCAAUGGGCAAGAGAAAGCGUUCAACCAGCCCAGUGGGGUAGACCAAGGAAAGUGGCCGUUUUCUGUGGGCUUACUAUGUGGAUCUCACUGGACUAAACACCUUUGCAUCUGAUUUCUUAAUUUCACAGUUCUGAGGGGUCGUUGUUAUUAUCUCCAUUUCACAGAAGAGGAAGUUGAGGCUCCGAGAGGUGAAGUGACUUGGCCAAGGUUUCAUGGCUUUGAAAUGCAUCUGGGGUUUAAGUCCAGGUUGUUCCUUGGCCAUUGACCGACUGACCUCUAGAUAUGUAAGGCUGCUCUCUCAAUCCCCACUCAGAUCCUACUGACUCCACAACCCAAGGCUUUACUGCCCUGCCCUCACGGGUCACGGCUGUGUAUACCUUGGUGGCAUAGGUCAGCAGGCACCUUGGACAGACCUGCCCAAGGGAGGAUGAUCUACAGGGACAGUGGCAUUUGAGCAGCUCAGUUGUAGAGAGAUCUGCAGCUGGCAAUCGUCAACACGCUGAUCCAAUCAUAUAACGAAUCUCUGGCCACCAGGCCAAGCAUCAUUUUAGUUGAGAUAACUAAAUAAGAACAAAAUUGUAUGUUUUUAUCUAGCUUGGAAGUAGUGAUUAUUUUGUUUUCCAGCUCAUUUUUAGCCUCAUAAAAGUAGUUUAAAAAUUACCAUUGUUGUGCCAGGUGCAGUGGCUCAUGCCUGUAAUCCCAGCACUUUGGGAGGCUGAGGUGGGCGAAUCACGAGGUCAGGAGAUCGAGACCAGCCUGGCAGACAUGGUGAAACCCCGUCUCAACUAAAAAUACAAAAAAAAAUUAGCCAGGUCUAGUGGUGCAUGCCUG